UAGGGAAUCUUCCGCAAUGGGCGAAAGCCUGACGGAGCAACGCCGCGUGAGUGAUGAAGGUCUUCGGAUCGUAAAACUCUGUUAUUAGGGAAGAACAAAUGUGUAAGUAACUAUGCACGUCUUGACGGUACCUAAUCAGAAAGCCACGGCUAACUACGUGCCAGCAGCCGCGGUAAUACGUAGGUGGCAAGCGUUAUCCGGAAUUAUUGGGCGUAAAGCGCGCGUAGGCGGUUUUUUAAGUCUGAUGUGAAAGCCCACGGCUCAACCGUGGAGGGUCAUUGGAAACUGGAAAACUUAAGUGCAGAAGAGGAAAGUGGAAUGCCAUGUGUAGCGGUGAAAUGCGCAGAGAUAUGGAGGAACACCAGUGGCGAAGGCGACUUUCUGGUCUGUAACUGACGCUGAUGUGCGAAAGCGUGGGGAUCAAACAGG
This 429-nucleotide ribosomal RNA is filed under the name Actinomycetes bacterium. RNAcentral's name for it is "Actinobacteria bacterium partial 16S ribosomal RNA". It matches the Rfam family "Bacterial small subunit ribosomal RNA", at positions 355 to 776 of the family's 1533-position model. Lineage: Bacteria; Bacillati; Actinomycetota; Actinomycetes. The record is from RNAcentral.